UACGGAGGGGGCUAGCGUUGUUCGGAAUUACUGGGCGUAAAGCGCACGUAGGCGGCUUUGCAAGUUAGAGGUGAAAGCCCGGGGCUCAACUCCGGAAUUGCCUUUAAGACUGCAUCGCUCGAAUUGUGGAGAGGUAAGUGGAAUUCCGAGUGUAGAGGUGAAAUUCGUAGAUAUUCGGAAGAACACCAGUGGCGAAGGCGACUUACUGGACAAAUAUUGACGCUGAGGUGCGAAAGCGUGGGGAGCAAACAGG
Molecule: ribosomal RNA, 253 nt
Filed under: uncultured bacterium
Lineage: Bacteria
Description: partial 16S ribosomal RNA
Rfam family: Bacterial small subunit ribosomal RNA
Source: RNAcentral